Molecule: ribosomal RNA, 432 nt
Filed under: uncultured bacterium
Lineage: Bacteria
Description: partial 16S ribosomal RNA
Rfam family: Bacterial small subunit ribosomal RNA
Source: RNAcentral
ACGAACGCUGGCGGCAUGCCUAACCCAUGCACGUCGAACGAGACCUUCGGGUCUAGUGGCGCACGGGUGCGUAACGCGUGGGAAUCUGCCCUUGGGUUCGGAAUAACAGUUGGAAACGACUGCUAAUACCGGAUGAUGACGUAAGUCCAAAGAUUUAUCGCCCAGGGAUGAGCCCGCGUAGGAUUAGCUAGUUGGUGGGGUAAAGGCCUACCAAGGCGACGAUCCUUAGCUGGUCUGAGAGGAUGAUCAGCCACACUGGGACUGAGACACGGCCCAGACUCCUACGGGAGGCAGCAGUGGGGAAUAUUGGACAAUGGGCGAAAGCCUGAUCCAGCAAUGCCGCGUGAGUGAUGAAGGCCUUAGGGUUGUAAAGCUCUUUUACCCGGGAUGAUAAUGACAGUACCGGGAGAAUAAGCCCCGGCUAACUCCGUG